RNAcentral lists this ribosomal RNA (269 nucleotides) under uncultured bacterium. RNAcentral describes it as "partial 16S ribosomal RNA". It matches the Rfam family "Bacterial small subunit ribosomal RNA", at positions 1234 to 1500 of the family's 1533-position model. The record is from RNAcentral.
CGUAAACAGAGGGAAGCGAGCCUGCGAGGGGGAGCGAAUCCCAAAAAUAACGUCCCAGUUCGGAUUGUAGUCUGCAACCCGACUACAUGAAGCUGGAAUCGCUAGUAAUCGCGGAUCAGAAUGCCGCGGUGAAUACGUUCCCGGGUCUUGUACACACCGCCCGUCACACCAUGGGAGUCGGAAAUGCCCGAAGUCAGUGACCCAACCGGAACAGGAGGGAGCUGCCGAAGGUGGGACCGAUAACUGGGGUGAAGUCGUAACAAGGUACC